GGGUUGUGAGGUUAAGCGACUAAGCGUACACGGUGGAUGCCCUGGCAGUCAGAGGCGAUGAAGGACGUGCUAAUCUGCGAUAAGCGUCGGUAAGGUGAUAUGAACCGUUAUAACCGGCGAUUUCCGAAUGGGGAAACCCAGUGUGUUUCGACACACUAUCAUUAACUGAAUCCAUAGGUUAAUGAGGCGAACCGGGGGAACUGAAACAUCUAAGUACCCCGAGGAAAAGAAAUCAACCGAGAUUCCCCCAGUAGCGGCGAGCGAACGGGGAGCAGCCCAGAGCCUGAAUCAGUGUGUGUGUUAGUGGAAGCGUCUGGAAAGGCGCGCGAUACAGGGUGACAGCCCCGUACACAAAAAUGCACAUACUGUGAGCUCGAUGAGUAGGGCGGGACACGUGGUAUCCUGUCUGAAUAUGGGGGGACCAUCCUCCAAGGCUAAAUACUCCUGACUGACCGAUAGUGAACCAGUACCGUGAGGGAAAGGCGAAAAGAACCCCGGCGAGGGGAGUGAAAAAGAACCUGAAACCGUGUACGUACAAGCAGUGGGAGCACGCUUAGGCGUGUGACUGCGUACCUUUUGUAUAAUGGGUCAGCGACUUAUAUUCUGUAGCAAGGUUAACCGAAUAGGGGAGCCGAAGGGAAACCGAGUCUUAACUGGGCGUUAAGUUGCAGGGUAUAGACCCGAAACCCGGUGAUCUAGCCAUGGGCAGGUUGAAGGUUGGGUAACACUAACUGGAGGACCGAACCGACUAAUGUUGAAAAAUUAGCGGAUGACUUGUGGCUGGGGGUGAAAGGCCAAUCAAACCGGGAGAUAGCUGGUUCUCCCCGAAAGCUAUUUAGGUAGCGCCUCGUGAAUUCAUCUCCGGGGGUAGAGCACUGUUUCGGCAAGGGGGUCAUCCCGACUUACCAACCCGAUGCAAACUGCGAAUACCGGAGAAUGUUAUCACGGGAGACACACGGCGGGUGCUAACGUCCGUCGUGAAGAGGGAAACAACCCAGACCGCCAGCUAAGGUCCCAAAGUCAUGGUUAAGUGGGAAACGAUGUGGGAAGGCCCAGACAGCCAGGAUGUUGGCUUAGAAGCAGCCAUCAUUUAAAGAAAGCGUAAUAGCUCACUGGUCGAGUCGGCCUGCGCGGAAGAUGUAACGGGGCUAAACCAUGCACCGAAGCUGCGGCAGCGACACUAUGUGUUGUUGGGUAGGGGAGCGUUCUGUAAGCCUGUGAAGGUGUGCUGUGAGGCAUGCUGGAGGUAUCAGAAGUGCGAAUGCUGACAUAAGUAACGAUAAAGCGGGUGAAAAGCCCGCUCGCCGGAAGACCAAGGGUUCCUGUCCAACGUUAAUCGGGGCAGGGUGAGUCGACCCCUAAGGCGAGGCCGAAAGGCGUAGUCGAUGGGAAACAGGUUAAUAUUCCUGUACUUGGUGUUACUGCGAAGGGGGGACGGAGAAGGCUAUGUUGGCCGGGCGACGGUUGUCCCGGUUUAAGCGUGUAGGCUGGUUUUCCAGGCAAAUCCGGAAAAUCAAGGCUGAGGCGUGAUGACGAGGCACUACGGUGCUGAAGCAACAAAUGCCCUGCUUCCAGGAAAAGCCUCUAAGCAUCAGGUAACAUCAAAUCGUACCCCAAACCGACACAGGUGGUCAGGUAGAGAAUACCAAGGCGCUUGAGAGAACUCGGGUGAAGGAACUAGGCAAAAUGGUGCCGUAACUUCGGGAGAAGGCACGCUGAUAUGUAGGUGA
RNAcentral lists this ribosomal RNA (1730 nucleotides) under Escherichia coli. Its description in RNAcentral is "partial 23S ribosomal RNA". It matches the Rfam family "Bacterial large subunit ribosomal RNA", at positions 1 to 1765 of the family's 2925-position model. The record is from RNAcentral. Lineage: Bacteria; Pseudomonadati; Pseudomonadota; Gammaproteobacteria; Enterobacterales; Enterobacteriaceae.